AAUUGGAGGGCAAGUCUGGUGCCAGCAGCCGCGGUAAUUCCAGCUCCAAUAGCGUAUAUUAAAGUUGUUGCAGUUAAAAAGCUCGUAGUUGAAUUUCGGGAUCAAUAUUUCGGUCAUGCCGUUGGUAUGCACUGUUAUCAUUGAUUUCUCACCUUCUAAAGAACCGUAAUGCCAUUAAUUUGGUGUUACGGGGAAUUAGGACUGUUACCUUGAAAAAAUUAGAGUGUUUAAAGCAGGCUCACGCUUGAAUACACUAGCAUGGAAUAAUGAAAUAGGACAUCCGAUUCUAUUUUGUUGGUUUCUAGGAUCGAUGUAAUGAUUAAUAGGGAUAGUUGGGGGCAUUAGUAUUCAAUUGUCAGAGGUGAAAUUCUUGGAUUUAUUGAAGACUAACUACUGCGAAAGCAUUUGCCAAGGAUGUUUUCAUUAAUCAAGAACGAAAGUUAGGGGAUCGAAGACGAUCAGAUACCGUCGUAGUCUUAACCAUAAACUAUGCCGACUAGGGAUCGGAUGAUGUUAAUUUUUUAAUGACUCAUUCGGCGCCUUACGGGAAACCAAAGUGU
RNAcentral lists this ribosomal RNA (560 nucleotides) under uncultured Glomus. RNAcentral's name for it is "SSU rRNA". It matches the Rfam family "Eukaryotic small subunit ribosomal RNA", at positions 546 to 1106 of the family's 1831-position model. Lineage: Eukaryota; Fungi; Glomeromycota; Glomeromycetes; Glomerales; Glomeraceae. The record is from RNAcentral.